This 458-nucleotide ribosomal RNA is filed under the name uncultured bacterium. Its description in RNAcentral is "partial 16S ribosomal RNA". It matches the Rfam family "Bacterial small subunit ribosomal RNA", at positions 29 to 507 of the family's 1533-position model. The record is from RNAcentral.
AACGAACGCUGGCGGCAUGCCUAACACAUGCAAGUCGAACGAGACCUUCGGGUCUAGUGGCGCACGGGUGCGUCACGCGUGGGAACCUGCCCUUAGGUUCGGCAUAACUCCCCGACAGGGGUGCUAAUACCGGAUAAUGUCUUCGGCCCAAAGAUUUAUCGCCUUUGGAUGGGCCCGCGUUGGAUUAGCUAGUUGGUAAGGUAAAAGCCUACCAAGGCGACGAUCCAUAGCUGAUCUGAGAGGGUGAUCGGCCACACUGGAACUGAGACCCGGCCCAGACUGAGACGGGAGGCAGCAGUAGGGAGUAUUCCGCAAUGGGAGAAAGGCUGACGGAGAAACGCCGCGUGAGUGAUGAAGGUCUUAGGAUAGUAAAAAUAUGUUAUUAGGGAAGAACAAAUGUGUAAGGAACUAUGCACGUCGUGAAGGUACCUAAUAAGAAAGCAACGGCUAACUACGUG